Molecule: ribosomal RNA, 447 nt
Filed under: uncultured bacterium
Lineage: Bacteria
Description: partial 16S ribosomal RNA
Rfam family: Bacterial small subunit ribosomal RNA
Source: RNAcentral
AGCGAACGCUGGCGGCAGGCUUAACACAUGCAAGUCGAACGCCCCGCAAGGGGAGUGGCAGACGGGUGAGUAACACGUGGGAACGUACCCUUUGGUUCGGAAUAACUUGGGGAAACUCAAGCUAAUACCGGAUAAGCCCUUAUGGGGAAAGGUUUACUGCCGAAGGAUCGGCCCGCGUCUGAUUAGCUAGUUGGUGAGGUAAUGGCUCACCAAGGCGACGAUCAGUAGCUGGUCUGAGAGGAUGAUCAGCCACUCCGGGACUGAGACACGGCCCAGACUCCUACGGGAGGCAGCAGUGGGGAAUAUUGGACAAUGGGGGCAACCCUGAUCCAGCCAUGCCGCGUGAGUGAUGAAGGCCUUAGGGUUGUAAAGCUCUUUUACCCGGGACGAUAAUGACUGUACCGGGAGAAUAAGCCCCGGCUAACUUCGUGCCAGCCGCCGCAGUAA